Molecule: ribosomal RNA, 1324 nt
Filed under: Vibrio parahaemolyticus
Lineage: Bacteria; Pseudomonadati; Pseudomonadota; Gammaproteobacteria; Vibrionales; Vibrionaceae
Description: bacterial SSU rRNA
Rfam family: Bacterial small subunit ribosomal RNA
Source: RNAcentral
CCUGAUGUGGGGGAUAACCAUUGGAAACGAUGGCUAAUACCGCAUGAUGCCUACGGGCCAAAGAGGGGGACCUUCGGGCCUCUCGCGUCAGGAUAUGCCUAGGUGGGAUUAGCUAGUUGGUGAGGUAAGGGCUCACCAAGGCGACGAUCCCUAGCUGGUCUGAGAGGAUGAUCAGCCACACUGGAACUGAGACACGGUCCAGACUCCUACGGGAGGCAGCAGUGGGGAAUAUUGCACAAUGGGCGCAAGCCUGAUGCAGCCAUGCCGCGUGUGUGAAGAAGGCCUUCGGGUUGUAAAGCACUUUCAGUCGUGAGGAAGGUAGUGUAGUUAAUAGCUGCAUUAUUUGACGUUAGCGACAGAAGAAGCACCGGCUAACUCCGUGCCAGCAGCCGCGGUAAUACGGAGGGUGCGAGCGUUAAUCGGAAUUACUGGGCGUAAAGCGCAUGCAGGUGGUUUGUUAAGUCAGAUGUGAAAGCCCGGGGCUCAACCUCGGAAUUGCAUUUGAAACUGGCAGACUAGAGUACUGUAGAGGGGGGUAGAAUUUCAGGUGUAGCGGUGAAAUGCGUAGAGAUCUGAAGGAAUACCGGUGGCGAAGGCGGCCCCCUGGACAGAUACUGACACUCAGAUGCGAAAGCGUGGGGAGCAAACAGGAUUAGAUACCCUGGUAGUCCACGCCGUAAACGAUGUCUACUUGGAGGUUGUGGCCUUGAGCCGUGGCUUUCGGAGCUAACGCGUUAAGUAGACCGCCUGGGGAGUACGGUCGCAAGAUUAAAACUCAAAUGAAUUGACGGGGGCCCGCACAAGCGGUGGAGCAUGUGGUUUAAUUCGAUGCAACGCGAAGAACCUUACCUACUCUUGACAUCCAGAGAACUUUCCAGAGAUGGAUUGGUGCCUUCGGGAACUCUGAGACAGGUGCUGCAUGGCUGUCGUCAGCUCGUGUUGUGAAAUGUUGGGUUAAGUCCCGCAACGAGCGCAACCCUUAUCCUUGUUUGCCAGCGAGUAAUGUCGGGAACUCCAGGGAGACUGCCGGUGAUAAACCGGAGGAAGGUGGGGACGACGUCAAGUCAUCAUGGCCCUUACGAGUAGGGCUACACACGUGCUACAAUGGCGCAUACAGAGGGCAGCCAACUUGCGAAAGUGAGCGAAUCCCAAAAAGUGCGUCGUAGUCCGGAUUGGAGUCUGCAACUCGACUCCAUGAAGUCGGAAUCGCUAGUAAUCGUGGAUCAGAAUGCCACGGUGAAUACGUUCCCGGGCCUUGUACACACCGCCCGUCACACCAUGGGAGUGGGCUGCAAAAGAAGUAGGUAGUUUAACCUUCGGGGGG